CGGCGGACGGGUGAGUAACACGUGGAUAACCUACCUAUAAGACUGGGAUAACUUCGGGAAACCGGAGCUAAUACCGGAUAACAUGUUGAACCGCAUGGUUCAACAGUGAAAGACGGUCUUGCUGUCACUUAUAGAUGGAUCCGCGCCGCAUUAGCUAGUUGGUAAGGUAACGGCUUACCAAGGCAACGAUGCGUAGCCGACCUGAGAGGGUGAUCGGCCACACUGGGACUGAGACACGGCCCAG
Molecule: ribosomal RNA, 244 nt
Filed under: uncultured Staphylococcus sp.
Lineage: Bacteria; Bacillati; Bacillota; Bacilli; Caryophanales; Staphylococcaceae
Description: partial 16S ribosomal RNA
Rfam family: Bacterial small subunit ribosomal RNA
Source: RNAcentral